GGGCGUCUAGCUCAAAUGGUGGAGCGCUCGCUUCGCAUGCGAGAGGUACUGGGAUGGAUACCCAGGUCGUCCA
This 73-nucleotide transfer RNA is filed under the name Gregarina niphandrodes. It matches the Rfam family "tRNA". Rfam says of the family: Transfer RNA (tRNA) molecules are approximately 80 nucleotides in length. Their secondary structure includes four short double-helical elements and three loops (D, anti-codon, and T loops). Further hydrogen bonds mediate the characteristic L-shaped molecular structure. tRNAs have two regions of fundamental functional importance: the anti-codon, which is responsible for specific mRNA codon recognition, and the 3' end, to which the tRNAs corresponding amino acid is attached (by aminoacyl-tRNA synthetases). tRNAs cope with the degeneracy of the genetic code in two manners: having more than one tRNA (with a specific anti-codon) for a particular amino acid; and 'wobble' base-pairing, i.e. permitting non-standard base-pairing at the 3rd anti-codon position. The record is from Rfam by way of RNAcentral. Lineage: Eukaryota; Apicomplexa; Conoidasida; Eugregarinorida; Gregarinidae.